UACGGGGGGGGCUAGCGUUGUUCGGAAUUACUGGGCGUAAAGGGCGCGUAGGCGGCCUACUAAGUCGGACGUGAAAUCCCUCGGCUCAACCGGGGAACUGCGUCCGAUACUGGUGGGCUCGAAUCCGGGAGAGGGAUGUGGAAUUCCAGGUGUAGCGGUGAAAUGCGUAGAUAUCUGGAGGAACACCGGUGGCGAAGGCGGCAUCCUGGACCGGUAUUGACGCUGAUGCGCGAAAGCCAGGGGAGCAAACAGG
RNAcentral lists this ribosomal RNA (253 nucleotides) under uncultured bacterium. RNAcentral describes it as "partial 16S ribosomal RNA". It matches the Rfam family "Bacterial small subunit ribosomal RNA", at positions 524 to 776 of the family's 1533-position model. The record is from RNAcentral.